This 74-nucleotide transfer RNA is filed under the name Bradyrhizobium lupini HPC(L). RNAcentral's name for it is "tRNA-Gln". It matches the Rfam family "tRNA". From Rfam's summary of the family: Transfer RNA (tRNA) molecules are approximately 80 nucleotides in length. Lineage: Bacteria; Pseudomonadati; Pseudomonadota; Alphaproteobacteria; Hyphomicrobiales; Nitrobacteraceae. The record is from RNAcentral.
UGGGGCGUCGCCAAGCGGUAAGGCACCGGUUUUUGGUACCGGCAUUCCCAGGUUCGAAUCCUGCGCCCCAGCCA